RNAcentral lists this ribosomal RNA (133 nucleotides) under uncultured bacterium. RNAcentral describes it as "partial 16S ribosomal RNA". The record is from RNAcentral.
GGUUACGUCAAGACUCACGGUUAUUAACCGUAGGCUUUUCUUCUCUACUGAAAGUGCUUUACAACCCGCAGGCCUUCUUCACACACGCGGCAUUGCUGGAUCAGGCUUGCGCCCAUUGUCCAAUAUUCCCCAC